Molecule: ribosomal RNA, 437 nt
Filed under: uncultured bacterium
Lineage: Bacteria
Description: bacterial SSU rRNA
Rfam family: Bacterial small subunit ribosomal RNA
Source: RNAcentral
GCUAAACGCGAAGAACCUUACCUGGGUUUGACAUGCAAGGAAAUCUCGUAGAGAUACGGGGUCCGCAAGGGCUUUGCACAGGUGGUGCAUGGCUGUCGUCAGCUCGUGUCGUGAGAUGUUGGGUUAAGUCCCGCAACGAGCGCAACCCUCGUUCUAUGUUGCCAGCACAUAAUGGUGGGGACUCAUAGGAGACUGCCGGGGUCAACUCGGAGGAAGGUGGGGAUGACGUCAAGUCAUCAUGCCCCUUAUAUCCAGGGCUGCACACAUGCUACAAUGGCCGGUACAAAGGGCUGCGAUACCGCAAGGUGGAGCGAAUCCCAUAAAGCCGGUCUCAGUUCGGAUUGGGGUCUGCAACUCGACCCCAUGAAGUCGGAGUCGCUAGUAAUCGCAGAUCAGCAACGCUGCGGUGAAUACGUUCCCGGGUCUUGUACACACCG